GAUGUCGGGGUGUACGAGAAAGUCCAACAUCCCUGAGCGUUCCCAGAUUAUCAAGGCCGCUGAGAUGAGAACACAUGUUUUUCCUACUGCAUUAAGCGUUUUGAAUGUAUGCUAAAAAUGUUAAUACGUUAUUCAAGGGACUGGAAUUUUUCUUUCAGCUUUGCCCUGGAGUCAGAGCUGCAGCAAGGCUGGGGCGAGAGGGACAUCUGUCCGCUGAGGAAGGCCCCAAAUGCGUGCAAAUACGCCAGACCCCCCCAGCCGCUGUGGUGACCUGGAAAAACAGCCUGGAGAUUUACAGUGAGCAGGAGGUGACGGCAGCAAUGGGAAGGAGCCCAAAAAGGAGGCGACAGAGUGCCCUGGGCACCCAGCGGGCACCAGGAAUAAAACCUCUGCAAAUAGAAAGGGCCGGUGGGGCCCCGUCACCAUGGCAUGAAGUGGCAAGGAGGCUCCCCGGGGGGCCGGGAAGGUCCCGGGGCGGCACAGACCCUGCCGCACAGCCUGGCAGCUGCACCAAGGCUGUGCGGGAGGGCGGAUGGGCACCACGAGCCAGGCGCCGUGCUGCCUGCCGGCCAUCGGGUGCACAAAUCCCAGAGCCCAUUUGGAGACUUUUGGUAUUUCUCCCCUUUCUGGCUUUAUCACGUAUGGUCAUUUCAUUUGUAUUGCAAAAAAUUCUUGUAUUGGCUUGUCCUCAUCCUGAAUCUGCAGUGAGCCAUCAGACCGAGUUUUCCUCCUGA
This 734-nucleotide long non-coding RNA is filed under the name Dromaius novaehollandiae (emu). Its description in RNAcentral is "lncRNA (ENSDNVG00000011477.1)". Lineage: Eukaryota; Metazoa; Chordata; Aves; Casuariiformes; Dromaiidae. The record is from RNAcentral.